Molecule: ribosomal RNA, 388 nt
Filed under: Choanoflagellata sp.
Lineage: Eukaryota; Choanoflagellata
Description: partial small subunit ribosomal RNA
Rfam family: Eukaryotic small subunit ribosomal RNA
Source: RNAcentral
AUUCCAGCUCCAAUAGCGUAUAUUAAAGUUGUUGCAGUUAAAAAGCUCGUAGUUGGAUUUCUGUUCUCGAGGAUCGGUCCGCCUCACGGUGAGCACUGGUUUUUCUUGGGGACAUCCUCUCGAAGGCGGGUGGUGCACUUAAUUGUGUGCUGCUUGGAUUCGGGACCUUUACUUUGAAAAAAUUAGAGUGUUCAAAGCAGGCGUCGGCUUGAAUACAUUAGCAUGGAAUAAUGGAAUAGGACUUUGGUACUAUUUUGUUGGUUUGCGCACCGAGGUAAUGAUUAAUAGGGACAGUUGGGGGUAUUCGUAUUCCAUAGUCAGAGGUGAAAUUCUUGGAUUUAUGGAAGACAAACUAAUGCGAAAGCAUCUACCAAGGAUGUUUUCAUUA